AUUGAACGCUGGCGGCAUGCCUUACACAUGCAAGUCGAACGGCAGCACGGGUGCUUGCACCUGGUGGCGAGUGGCGAACGGGUGAGUAAUACAUCGGAACAUGUCCUGUAGUGGGGAAUAGCCCGGCGAAAGCCGGAUUAAUACCGCAUACGAUCUACGGAUGAAAGCGGGGGACCUUCGGGCCUCGCGCUAUAGGGUUGGCCGAUGGCUGAUUAGCUAGUUGGUGGGGUAAAGGCCUACCAAGGCGACGAUCAGUAGCUGGUCUGAGAGGACGACCAGCCACACUGGGACUGAGACACGGCCCAGACUCCUACGGGAGGCAGCAGUGGGGAAUUUUGGACAAUGGGCGAAAGCCUGAUCCAGCAAUGCCGCGUGUUUGAAGAAGGCCUUCGGGUUGUAAAGCACUUUUGUCCGGAAAGAAAUCCUUGGCCCUAAUACGGUCGGGGGAUGACGGUACCGGAAGAAUAAGCACCGGCUAACUACGUG
Molecule: ribosomal RNA, 486 nt
Filed under: uncultured bacterium
Lineage: Bacteria
Description: partial 16S ribosomal RNA
Rfam family: Bacterial small subunit ribosomal RNA
Source: RNAcentral